RNAcentral lists this ribosomal RNA (497 nucleotides) under uncultured bacterium. RNAcentral describes it as "partial 16S ribosomal RNA". It matches the Rfam family "Bacterial small subunit ribosomal RNA", at positions 28 to 507 of the family's 1533-position model. The record is from RNAcentral.
GAUGAACGCUGGCGGCGUGCCUAAUACAUGCAAGUCGAGCGAACAGACGAGGAGCUUGCUCCUCUGACGUUAGCGGCGGACGGGUGAGUAACACGUGGAUAACCUACCUAUAAGACUGGGAUAACUUCGGGAAACCGGAGCUAAUACCGGAUAAUAUAUUGAACCGCAUGGUUCAAUAGUGAAAGACGGUUUUGCUGUCACUUAUAGAUGGAUCCGCGCCGCAUUAGCUAGUUGGUAAGGUAACGGCUUAUCAAGGCAACGAUGCGUAGCCGACCUGAGAGGGUGAUCGGCCACACUGGAACUGAGACACGGUCCAGACUCCUACGGGAGGCAGCAGUAGGGAAUCCUCCGCAAUGGGCGAAAGCUUGACGGAGCAACGCCGCGUGAGUGAUGAAGGUCUUCGGAUCGUAAAACUCUGUUAUUAGGGAAGAACAAAUGUGUAAGUAACUAUGCACGUCUUGACGGUACCUAAUCAGAAAGCCACGGCUAACUACGUG